RNAcentral lists this ribosomal RNA (468 nucleotides) under uncultured bacterium. RNAcentral describes it as "partial 16S ribosomal RNA". It matches the Rfam family "Bacterial small subunit ribosomal RNA", at positions 28 to 507 of the family's 1533-position model. The record is from RNAcentral.
GACGAACGCUGGCGGCGUGCUUAACACAUGCAAGUCGAACGGAAAGGCCCUGCUUUUGUGGGGUGCUCGAGUGGCGAACGGGUGAGUAACACGUGGUUAACCUGCCCUUGACUUGGGGAUAACUUCAGGAAACUGGGGCUAAUACCGGAUAGAGCCUCCGGCGGCAUGGGGGGGGUUGGAAGGUUUCGGCGGUUGGGGAUGGACUCGCGGCUUAUCAGCUUGUUGGUGGGGUAGUGGCUUACCAAGGCUUUGACGGGUAGCCGGCCUGAGAGGGUGACCGGCCACAUUGGGACUGAGAUACGGCCCAGACUCCUACGGGAGGCAGCAGUGGGGAAUAUUGCACAAUGGGCGGAAGCCUGAUGCAGCAACGCCGCGUGCGGGAUGACGGCCUUCGGGUUGUAAACCGCUUUCGCCUGUGACGAAGCGUGAGUGACGGUAAUGGGUAAAGAAGCACCGGCUAACUACGUG